RNAcentral lists this ribosomal RNA (501 nucleotides) under uncultured bacterium. RNAcentral describes it as "partial 16S ribosomal RNA". It matches the Rfam family "Bacterial small subunit ribosomal RNA", at positions 30 to 523 of the family's 1533-position model. The record is from RNAcentral.
AUUGAACGCUGGCGGCAGGCUUAACACAUGCAAGUCGAGCGGGGGAAGGUAGCUUGCUACUGGACCUAGCGGCGGACGGGUGAGUAAUGCUUAGGAAUCUGCCUAUUAGUGGGGGACAACAUCUCGAAAGGGAUGCUAAUACCGCAUACGUCCUACGGGAGGAAGCAGGGGAUCUUCGGACCUUGCGCUAAUAGAUGAGCCUAAGUCGGAUUAGCUAGUUGGUGGGGUAAAGGCCUACCAAGGCGACGGUCUGUAGCGGGUCUGAGAGGAUGAUCCGCCACACUGGGACUGAGACACGGCCCAGACUCCUACGGGAGGCAGCAGUGGGGAAUAUUGGACAACGGGGGGAACCCUGAUCCAGCCAUGCCGCGUGUGUGAAGAAGGCCUUAUGGUUGUAAAGCACUUUAAGCGAGGAGGAGGCUACUUUAGUUAAUACCUAGAGAUAGUGGACGUUACUCGCAGAAUAAGCACCGGCUAACUCUGUGCCAGCCGCCGCGGUAA